UCGAGCGGGGAAGGUAGCUUGCUACCUGACCUAACGGCGGACGGGUGAGUAAUGCUUAGGAAUCUGCCUAUUAGUGGGGGACAACAUUCCGAAAGGAAUGCUAAUACCGCAUACGCCCUACGGGGGAAAGCAGGGGAUCUUCGGACCUUGCGCUAAUAGAUGAGCCUAAGUCAGAUUAGCUAGUUGGUGGGGUAAAGGCCUACCAAGGCGACGAUCUGUAGCGGGUCUGACAAGAUGAUCCGCCACACUGGGACUGACACACGGCCCAGACUCCUACGGGAGGCAGCAGUGGGGAAUAUUGGACAAUGGGCGAAAGCCUGAUCCAGCCAUGCCGCGUGUGUGAAGAAGGCCUUUUGGUUGUAAAGCACUUUAAGCGAGGAGGAGGCUACUUAGAUUAAUACUCUAGGAUAGUGGACGUUACUCGCAGAAUAAGCACCGGCUAACUCUGUGCCAGCAGCCGCGGUAAUACAGAGGGUGCGAGCGUUAAUCGGAUUUACUGGGCGUAAAAGCGUGCGUAGGCGGCUUUUUAAGUCGGAUGUGAAAUCCCCUGAGCUUAACUUAGGAAUUGCAUUCGAUACUGGGAAGCUAGAGUAUGGGAGAGGAUGGUAGAAUUCCACGUGUAGCUCUGAAAUGCGUAGAGAUCUGGAGGAAUACCGAUGGAGAAUGCAGGCAUCUGGUCCUAUUACUGACGCUG
Molecule: ribosomal RNA, 694 nt
Filed under: uncultured bacterium
Lineage: Bacteria
Description: bacterial SSU rRNA
Rfam family: Bacterial small subunit ribosomal RNA
Source: RNAcentral